RNAcentral lists this unclassified non-coding RNA (352 nucleotides) under soil metagenome. Its description in RNAcentral is "partial contains 5.8S ribosomal RNA, internal transcribed spacer 2, and large subunit ribosomal RNA". The stretch from base 1 to 120 matches the Rfam family "5.8S ribosomal RNA", at positions 35 to 154 of the family's 154-position model. The record is from RNAcentral.
GAUGAAGAACGUAGUGAAAUGCGAUAAGUAAUGUGAAUUGCAGAAUUCAGUGAAUCAUCGAAUCUUUGAACGCACAUUGCGCCCGCCAGUAUUCUGGCGGGCAUGCCUGUUCGAGCGUCAUUACAACCCUCAGGCCCCCGGGCCUGGCGUUGGGGAUCGGCGGAGCCCCCCGUGGGCACACGCCGUCCCCCAAAUGCAGUGGCGGUCCCGCCGCAGCUUCCAUCGCGUAGUAGCUAACACCUCGCGACUGGAGAGCGGCGCGGCCACGCCGUAAAACACCCAACUCUUCUGAAGUUGUCCUCGAAUCAGGUAGGAAUACCCGCUGAACUUAAGCAUAUCAAUAAGCGGAGGA